This 250-nucleotide ribosomal RNA is filed under the name uncultured bacterium. RNAcentral describes it as "partial 16S ribosomal RNA". It matches the Rfam family "Bacterial small subunit ribosomal RNA", at positions 796 to 1041 of the family's 1533-position model. The record is from RNAcentral.
CACGCCGUAAACGAUGAGUACUAGGUGUAGGGGGUAUCGACCCCCCCUGUGCCGCAGUAAACACAAUAAGUACUCCGCCUGGGAAGUACGAUCGCAAGAUUAAAACUCAAAGGAAUUGACGGGGGCCCGCACAAGCGGUGGAUUAUGUGGUUUAAUUCGAAGCAACGCGAAGAACCUUACCAGGGCUUGACAUCCUACUAACGAAGUAGAGAUACAUCAGGUGCCCUUCGGGGAAAGUAGAGACAGGUGG